This 492-nucleotide ribosomal RNA is filed under the name uncultured bacterium. RNAcentral's name for it is "partial 16S ribosomal RNA". It matches the Rfam family "Bacterial small subunit ribosomal RNA", at positions 29 to 507 of the family's 1533-position model. The record is from RNAcentral.
AGUGAACGCUGGCGGUAGGCCUAACACAUGCAAGUCGAACGGCAGCACAGUAAGAGCUUGCUCUUACGGGUGGCGAGUGGCGGACGGGUGAGGAAUACAUCGGAAUCUACUUUUUCGUGGGGGAUAACGUAGGGAAACUUACGCUAAUACCGCAUACGACCUACGGGUGAAAGCAGGGGAUCUUCGGACCUUGCGCGAUUGAAUGAGCCGAUGUCGGAUUAGCUAGUUGGCGGGGUAAAGGCCCACCAAGGCGACGAUCCGUAGCUGGUCUGAGAGGAUGAUCAGCCACACUGGAACUGAGACACGGUCCAGACUCCUACGGGAGGCAGCAGUGGGGAAUAUUGGACAAUGGGCGCAAGCCUGAUCCAGCCAUACCGCGUGGGUGAAGAAGGCCUUCGGGUUGUAAAGCCCCUUUGUUGGGAAAGAAAAGCGGCAGGUUAAUACCCCGCUGUUCUGACGGUACCCAAAGAAUAAGCACCGGCUAACUUCGUG